CUGCGCCACGAGUGGGAACCACGAUUAUUGGGCCUAAAGCGUCCGUAGCCGGUUAAGUAAAUUUCCUGUGAAAUCAUCAGGCUUAACUUAAUGGUGUGCAGGAAACACUGCUUAGCUUGGAACUGGGAGGAGCUGGAAGUAUGCAGUGGGGAGCGGUAAAAUGCUAUAAUCCUCUGUAGACUACCUGUGGCGAAGGCGUCCAGCUAGAACAGAUUCGACGGUGAGGGACGAAAGCCAGGGGAGCGAACCGGAUUAGAUACCCGAGUAGUCC
This 271-nucleotide ribosomal RNA is filed under the name uncultured archaeon. Its description in RNAcentral is "partial 16S ribosomal RNA". It matches the Rfam family "Archaeal small subunit ribosomal RNA", at positions 477 to 747 of the family's 1478-position model. The record is from RNAcentral.